ACGUCUUUUCUCACGAGGUUUGUGAUCUUGACGUUGUCUGCGUUGUUCUUCGCAGUGGCCAGGUCACAGUCACCUCCUCUGGAGAUCUGAAGUUGCAGGGUUCAAAUCCUCAAGUGACCGAGCCAGAUUUGCUGACAAUGGGGGUGUUCAGAUCAUAACGAGCAUCAAACAAAUCAAAUAAUUAACUGACCUGAGAGACACAAGACACCCAGUAAGAUCCUCUCCAUCAUCGUGCUGCUCUGAGGUCUGUGUGUGCGUUGAUUUAAAC
Molecule: long non-coding RNA, 268 nt
Organism: Micropterus dolomieu (smallmouth bass)
Lineage: Eukaryota; Metazoa; Chordata; Actinopteri; Centrarchiformes; Centrarchidae
Exons: 3
Source: RefSeq, a predicted model, not a curated record